Molecule: ribosomal RNA, 328 nt
Filed under: uncultured bacterium
Lineage: Bacteria
Description: bacterial SSU rRNA
Rfam family: Bacterial small subunit ribosomal RNA
Source: RNAcentral
GUACUACUCUCAGAGUUUGAUCCUGGCUCAGGAUGAACGCUGACAGAAUGCUUAACACAUGCAAGUCGACUCGAGUCUUCGGACUUGGGUGGCGCACGGGUGAGUAACGCGUAAGAACUUGCCUCUUAGACCGGGACAACAUCUGGAAACGGAUGGUAAUACCGCAUAACGUCAUGGGACCGCAUGAUCCUAUGACCAAAGGAGCAAUCCGCUGAGAGAUGGACUCGCGUCCGAUUAGCUAGUUGGAGAGGUAACGGCUCCCCAAGGCGACGAUCGGUAGCCGGACUGAGAGGUUGAACGGCCACAUUGGGACUGAGACACGGCCCAG